CGGCGGACGGGUGGAGUAAGCGUGGGUAACCUGCCUCAUACAGGGGGAUAACAGUUGGAAACGGCUGCUAAUACCGCAUAAGCGCACAGUACCGCAUGGUACGGUGUGAAAAACUCCGGUGGUAUGAGAUGGACCCGCGUCUGAUUAGGUAGUUGGUGGGGUAACGGCCUACCAAGCCGACGAUCAGUAGCCGACCUGAGAGGGUGACCGGCCACAUUGGGACUGAGACACGGCCCAA
This 238-nucleotide ribosomal RNA is filed under the name uncultured bacterium. RNAcentral's name for it is "partial 16S ribosomal RNA". It matches the Rfam family "Bacterial small subunit ribosomal RNA", at positions 96 to 334 of the family's 1533-position model. The record is from RNAcentral.